Molecule: ribosomal RNA, 301 nt
Filed under: uncultured bacterium
Lineage: Bacteria
Description: partial 16S ribosomal RNA
Rfam family: Bacterial small subunit ribosomal RNA
Source: RNAcentral
CAGUAGCCACGGUAAUACGUAGGGUGCAAGCGUUAAUCGGAAUUACUGGGCGUAAAGCGUGCGUAGGCGGCUUCUUAAGUCGGAUGUGAAAUCCCUGAGCUUAACUUAGGAAUUGCAUUCGAUACUGGGAAGCUAGAGUAUGGGAGAGGAUGGUAGAAUUCCAGGUGUAGCGGUGAAAUUCGUAGAGAUCUGGAGGAAUACCGAUGGCGAAGGCAGCCAUCUGGCAUAAUACUGACGCUGAGGUACGAAAGCAUGGGGAGCAAACAGGAUUAGAUACCCGCGUAGUCCCUGUCUCUUAACA